GAAAUUUGGAUUAAUACCUUAUAGUAUGUAGACUUCUCAUGAAGAUUACAUUAAAGAUUACGGCAAAAGAUGAGUAUGCGUCCUAUUAGUUUGUUGGUGUGGUAACGGCACACCAAGACUACGAUAGGUAGGGGCCCUGAGAGGGGGAUCCCCCACACUGGUACUGAGACACGGACCAGACUCCUACGGGAGGCAGCAGUGAGGAAUAUUGGACAAUGGAGGCAACUCUGAUCCAGCCAUGCCGCGUGCAGGAAGACUGCCCUAUGGGUUGUAAACUGCUUUUAUACAGGAAGAAACACUCCCUCGUGAGGGAGCUUGACGGUACUGUAAGAAUAAGGAUCGGCUAACUCCGUGCCAGCAGCCGCGGUAAUACGGAGGAUCCAAGCGUUAUCCGGAAUCAUUGGGUUUAAAGGGUCCGUAGGUGGAUAAUUAAGUCAGAGGUGAAAGUUUGCAGCUCAACUGUAAAAUUGCCUUUGAUACUGGUUAUCUUGAGUUAUUGUGAAGUAGUUAGAAUAUGUAGUGUAGCGGUGAAAUGCAUAGAUAUUACAUAGAAUACCAAUUGCGAAGGCAGAUUACUAACAAUAUACUGACACUGAUGGACGAAAGCGUGGGUAGCGAACAGGAUUAGAUACCCUGGUAGUCCACGCCGUAAACGA
Molecule: ribosomal RNA, 656 nt
Filed under: uncultured Algibacter sp.
Lineage: Bacteria; Pseudomonadati; Bacteroidota; Flavobacteriia; Flavobacteriales; Flavobacteriaceae
Description: bacterial SSU rRNA
Rfam family: Bacterial small subunit ribosomal RNA
Source: RNAcentral